RNAcentral lists this long non-coding RNA (41887 nucleotides) under Salvia miltiorrhiza (redroot sage). Its description in RNAcentral is "long non-coding RNA (SMIL_LNC005788)". Lineage: Eukaryota; Viridiplantae; Streptophyta; Magnoliopsida; Lamiales; Lamiaceae. The record is from RNAcentral.
AAAAAAAAAAAAACUGUACCAUCAUUUGUUCUUGGGAUUUCGAAGCCUUAUUUUACACAAUCUAUGCAUCUGCGUCGACUUGAAAACUUCAACUUGGUACACGAAAGUUCGAACGAAUAUACUGGUGUCCCUAAUCUAGUUAUUCCUAGCUCGCUGAAGAAGUUAGCCUCAAGAUUGUCUGCCCGUUGCCGAAUCUUGAAGUGCUCAAACUGAGACAAUUCGAUUUUAAGGAACAAGAGUGGAUAGUUAGUGAUCAUGAUUUCCCAAAGCUGCGGUUUCUUCUCAUUGAUGAUUCAAAUCUCAAGCAAUGGAACACUGACGGCAGCCACUUUCCGUUGCUCGAACACCUACUGAUUCAUUAUUGCCGACGUCUGAGUGAAAUUCCAGAUAGUAUGGGAGAAAUUCCACACUGAAGUUGGUUGAGGUCAAGAGAUGUGAGAAAUCCCUAGCGGUACUCUGUCAAGUAAUACAAGAGAGCAACAAAAUUAUGGAGAUUGUUUUUUGAAGUUCGUUGUAUUAACUGUUUAGCCUACAGAAAUUGCUUUCCCUCGAUUUUUGACAGGUUAGAGAUUUAUUGAGUUUGUUGGUGGUUUCCUCUCAAGUUUGAUGACUGAUCUCUGAAUUCUUGACUCAGAUUUCAUUUUACAAGUAUCUCAUGUUUCCACUUUAUAUUUCUAACUCUAUCUUCCUUUCCUAUUGUAUGAAGAAUGCCCACGAGUUCAACGACAUAGUCGAGGCCUUCGGUGGGAGGACAUACGGUACGUGGGGCCCGCCCCGGCACGCAUGUCUACAAGAGGGUCUGGACGGCCAACGAAGGCCCCCUGUCGGAGUUCAUAUACUACCACCAUGAGAUGGUCUUGGUGAGUUUCAUUGCACGAGUUCAAUUAAUGAUUUAAUGGAUCUUUUUUGUUUAGGGUUUCACACUGGUUUUAAUUUUAAUCAGAUAAAAGAAUUCCCAGAGAAGGUGAUUCUCUUCUGUGAAGUACCUCCGCCGGAAGGAGGAGAAACUCCGAUCGCGCCUAGCUUCCGUGUAACGGAGAGGAUGUUGGAAGAGUACCCAGAGAUGGUGGAGGAGAUGGAGAGGAAAGGACUGGAUACACUUCAGGCCCUAAGCAAAAACGAUACUCUUCCAUGAGAGGUCGAGGUUGGGAAGAUGCAUUUGGACUUCAGAUUGCGUAGAAGCAGAGAAGAGGUAAGCAAUUUCGAGUUCUUUCUAGACAUAUUGUGGAGAGGGGGCGUUUACUUUGCAUGAUUGAUCAGAUGAAAAAAACCGUCGUCCAUCAACACCUACAAAUAAAUAGCUACACCUUCAUUAGUGACAGAAGAUUUUCUAAUAGAUGAUGCUUUUCGUCUGUCAUCUAUUAGCGAUUUUCUUGUAGUGAUGAUUGAGUAUUUUCAUCCUAGAGAGUAGGAUUACUCCAAUCCCACCUUUGAAAUGGGAUAUAAAUCGAGUAAAACUAGCUUAAAUGAUAGAAAAAAUCAAGGGUCUUGGGAUAUCCCAAAAUUUUAAUCCAUCGAAGUAAACAAAGGAUUAGCCAUACUAUUUUUUACCUAUAUAUCAAGGCUAAUCCUCCAUGAAAGUGUUGCUCCACACGAACUAACUGAAAACCUUGUGUUAAAGUAACACACCACACAGCACAGAGUAAAUAAUGCAGCGGAAAUAAACGAACACCAAACUUUGGAAAAAUUUCUUCAAGUUAUAAAUAACUUGAAGAAUGCCUUAUGGCGAAGAGAAUGACACUCACGUUCAAUACCUUUACAAAGGACUAGGUAUUGAACACCAUACACUCUCACUAACAAACUAAACUGGAUUCAAGAGCUAUACUCCGAAAUCCAACAAAACACAGAAUGCUAUAANAUUGCAAGAAUAAUCAUAAUGGAACUAUGCUUGACUACAGGAGAAAAUACUUCAUUGAAGUCAACCCCCUCCUUUUGGGUGAAACCUCGAGCCACCAAUCUAGCCUUAUAUCUUAUCCUUGUUACUUUACCUGUCUCAAUUUUCUUUUUAAAAAUCCAUUUGCAACUAACUGCCUUUUGAGAUUUUGGCUUUUUCACAAGUAUCCAGGUUCCAUUCUUGAGUAAUGAAGAUAUCUCUUCAUUCAUAGCUCUAUCCAUUUAUCUUUCUCUUUGCAAGUAACUACUUCUUUGUAACUGCUUGGCUUAGAAUACUCUAAUAAGGUUUAACUAGCAAAAUAAAGGCAUAAGUUCAGCCCACAAUUAAACAAAAUAGUUUAGGCCCACAAAAAGACAAAAUAAAAUAGCAGCUCAUUAAUCUUCUCGCUAACAUUCGGACUGCACCCAGACGGUAUGGACAUACUGUUCAGCCUGCGCGUACAGCUUUCUUACUUCACGAAUUCUUUACUUCCAUACUCUUCCAAAACUGAGCUUUUUCUCCAAAACCUAUCAAAUACCAUCAAAAUUCACUUAAGCUCAUAAAUCAUAUCAAAAGGAUUAUAUAUAUAUAUAUAUAUAAAUAAUGAAGCAUAGAAAUCAUACUAAAACACCCAAAAUAUGCAUAUAAAAUAGGCCUAAUCACAAGUCUACAUGCGACACAUUAUGCAAUCUAUUAAGGAUACAAUUAUUUUGAAAGAUUAACCCUGAUAUUUAAAAAUAAUAAGGUCAAUCAUUUACUCCAUCUGUAUCAUCUUUUAGUAUCCAUAUUUCUAUUUUUGCAUGUCCCACGUUUUUUUUAUCAAUUUCUAUUUUUAGUAAUGUCUUUUUUUUUACUCCACUUUAAUUAUUUUAACACUCACAUAAAAGUAGAGACCCUUGUUCCACUCAAAUACACCCAACCACUGUGCCACUCUCAAUUGAAUGCUAAAAGUUACUACUCCAGGACAUAAGAAGUAUUUACUUAUAUUGAUUCAAACAUUGAGAUAUCCAAUGCCCUUAAUUAUUUAUGUCAUUUAAGCUAAUUUUGAAUGAUUUAUAUCACUUUGAAAGGGUGAGAUUGGAGGAAUCAUACUCUUCAAACUAAAAAAAUUCAAUCAUGCAAAGUAAACGCCAUCUAAUUACGUAACAUAAAUCAACUACGAAAAAUGUAUUGUACUCCUACAUAUCGUGAUCUUUAAUUUGAUAUGUAUAUCGUGAUCUUUAAUUUGAUAUGUAUAUCAAAUAUUUUAUCAUUAGCUGAGUUUCAUAAUUUUCGAAAAGAACGAAAAUAGAAAAAAAAAAGAAGUAAAAAAUAUAUAUAUAUAUAUAUAUAUAAUUUAUAAAUAAAUCUUCAAUUUUAUUACUAUAAUCACCAAUUUAUCAUUUAAUUCUGAAAUUGAUUUGAAAGUGAAAGUUGCCUUUUUAAUAUAUUAUAAAUUAUAGAUAUUUAUAAAAUCGUAUAAAAAUAGGAAAUUGAGUAAAUUUUUUGCAUUGAGUAGGCAAUUAACUAUAAAUAAGGUCGAUUUGAAAAUAUGUUAAAUUGAUUUUGAGAUUAUAGUAUACUUGUACCAUCAAAUUGAUGACAGCUCCAAUUGGUGACUUGUUUUCACACUAUUUUAACUUAAAAAGUUGUAAAGUCUAUCUUAAAUAGUUGUUGAAUUCGUAAUUAAUUAAUUUUGCCGCCCGUAUCGCGUAUAAUUAUUGCCAACAAAUCCCACAUCGCAGCCUACUUUGCCCUAAUUAGGCCCACGUUUAUCAUCAUUCGCCGCUGCUUUCAUUUGGUUCCAGUUUUCCCGCUUCCACACAUCGUACCCCUCGCUGCUCACACUUGUACAUUCGGUGUCGCUCCCCAAAUUUACCAUACUGCCCACGCACUUGUGUGUGCGCGCGUCGUCUUGUUCUAUAUAAGCACAGAUUGCACGCACCUUCACUGCGUGUGCCGCUGUGUGAGAGAGAGGGAGAGACGCUUACUCACGUAUAUAAUCUAGAGAGAGGGAGGGGGAGACAGGCGAUAGCAGAGCGCCAGCCACCUCACACAAAAACAGCGCAUUCAAAAACCCUAGAGAAUUAUCGCGGCGACUCGGGAGGAUGGACGCCGAGUCGACUCAGGUUCAGCAGGCGCAAUUGGCGGCGAUUCUGGGGCCGGACCCGGCGCCGUUCGAAACCCUGAUUUCCCAUCUGAUGUCAUCCUCCAACGAGCAGCGAUCCCAGGCCGAGUCAAUCUUCAAUUUGAUCAAGCAGAACGAUCCGAACUCGCUCGCGCUCAAGCUCGGCCACCUCAUCUCCUCGUCCGUGCACCAGGAGGCGCGCGCCAUGGCGGCGAUUCUCCUGCGGAAGCAGCUGACUCGGGAUGACGCGUAUAUCUGGCCCAACCUCAGCGAGUCGACUCGCUCCACCGUUAAAAACGUGCUGUUGUCAUCGCUCCAGAGCGAGGAGUCGAAAUCGAUUAUUAAGAAGCUCUGCGACACCAUCUCGGAGCUCGCUUCUUCGCUCGUGCCCGAGAAUCAGUGGCCGGAAAUCCUGCCGUUUAUGUUCCAGUGCGUGACGUCUAGUGCUCCGAAGCUGCAGGAAUCAGCGUUCCUGAUGUUCUCUCAAUUGGCGCAAUUCAUUGGAGAAACGCUGAUUCCGUAUAUCACUGAUUUGCACACCGUGUUCCUGAACGUAUUGAACAAUUCCCCCAAUCCGGAUGUCAAGAUUGCGGCUUUGAGCGCUGUCAUAAAUUUUAUCCAGUGUUUGACGAGUUCGAAUGAUCGCGAUAGGUUCCAGGAUUUGUUGCCGGCUAUGAUGAGGACACUGACCGAGUCGCUGAACUCGGGCCAAGAGGCGACUGCGCAGGAGGCGUUGGAGCUGUUGAUUGAGCUGGCUGGGACGGAGCCGAGGUUUUUGAGGAGGCAGAUUGUAGAUGUUGUUGGAGCCAUGUUGCAGAUUGCCGAGGCUGAGAGUCUGGAGGAAGGCACGCGGCAUUUGGCAAUUGAGUUUGUAAUUACACUAGCGGAAGCAAGGAAAGAGCGCCAGGGAUGAUGCGCAAGCUGCCUCAGUUCAUUAGCAGGCUUUUCGCCAAUUUGAUGAAGAUGCUUUUGGAUGUGGAGGAUGAUCCUGCGUGGCACAGUGCGGAAGCCAAGGAUGAGGAUGCAGGAGAGACGAGUAACUAUAGUGUUGGCCAGGAAUGCUUAGAUAGGCUUUCUAUAGCGCUUGGUGGGAAUACGAUUGUCCCUGUAGCGUCCGAGCAGUUUAAGGCAUAUUUUUCUGCUCCAGAGUGGCAGAAGCAUCACGCAGCACUCAUUGCACUUGCACAGAUUGCAGAGGGUUGCUCGAAGGUAUACAUAACCAUAAAAGAUACUAUUAUUAUAUGAGCAACCUUGUGAAUUUAAAAAUGAUUUUUUUUUUCGGGUUUCAACUAAUAAUUGUGCUGAAUUAGAAAUGUUGUCUCAUGUUCAUGUUCAUGGCUGUCUCAUGAUCACAUAAAAUACACAAUUUAUGACUUUUUGUGUUCGGUUAGGAGUGUCUUUUAGAUGAUCAUUUGGCGAUUUUUGACAUCACUUAUCUCGUGCUAAGUGCUAACAUAAAAUUCAUUAGUAUUCAGUAUCAUUUUAUUUCUUUUACUAGUUUUAGUGCUAACAUAAAAUUCAUUAGUAUUCAGUAUCAUUUUAUUUCUUUUACUAGUUUUGUUACCAGCGCACAGGAAUAUAAUACAAUUUGUUCGCAUAAUAAGAGAGUAAUAUGUAGGUGAUGGUUACUAAUUUGGAACAAGUGGUGAACAUGGUCUUGAAUUCCUUUCAACAUCCUCAUCCACGUGUGAGAUGGUCAGCAAUCAAUGCAAUCGGUCAGCUAUCAACUGACUUGGGCCCAGAUUUGCAAAUUCAGUUCCAUCAGCAUGUCCUGCCAGCUCUAGCUGCAGCGAUGGAUGACUUCCAAAAUCCUCGAGUACAGGUUUGUUUGUUUAUCAUGUUGUCUGCUGCAUUAGUUUCUGAAAAUGAAUUAUGUGCUCUUUAAGCAAUCCCCUCCCUUUUUGCAGGCACAUGCGGCUUCAGCCGUGCUUAACUUUAGUGAGAACUGCACUCCGGAAAUUUUGACACCUUACUUAGAUGGGAUAGUGCACAAGCUUCUUCUACUUCUUCAGGUGAAGUUGAGAAUUUAGGAUAUGCAAUAAUAGAUAUGCUAAACUGAUAUAUGUUUUGUAAAUUGCAGAAUUCCAAGCAAAUGGUUCAGGAGGGUGCCUUAACUGCUUUAGCUUCGGUAGCUGAUUCAUCUCAGGUACACCAUUCUCGUUAUAUAUCGUGUUGUUAGUUUCUUGAUUUUUGAUGGGUGACUUGGUUAACUUAUGGAAUUAUGAUGGCAGGAACAUUUCCAGAAAUAUUAUGAUGCAGUUAUGCCUUACUUGAAAGUUAUCUUAGAGAAUGCCACAGACAAGUCUAACCGCAUGCUCCGUGCAAAAGCUAUGGAGUGCAUAAGCUUGGUGGGGAUGGCGGUUGGAAAGGAGAAAUUCAAAGAGGACGCUAAGCAGGUAGGCGAGAAAAGAUAUCUGGGUCCUGGUUGUUGUAUUUAUGUUGAAUGUGCUAUUUCCUCGUGUUUGUUUUGUGCUUUGUAUUCACUGGCUGCUUUACUCAUUUGCAAUAUCAGCACACCUUACCCGGGCUUAAUUGUGAUUCGAAAAUGAUAUUAGUUUCAUUCAUUUUUGCUAGGUGAUGGGAGUACUUAUGUCAUUGCAAGGAUCACAAAUGGAGACAGAUGAUCCUACUACCAGUUACAUGCUACAAGUAUGUCAUUUGUCCUUGGGAGCUGCAGCUUUCAUGCCUUAAAAGAUUAGUUUAGCCACAUCAAACUAAUUCAUCUUUGUUCUAUUGUAGGCAUGGGCCAGACUUUGCAAGUGCUUGGGACAAGAUUUUCUUCCUUAUAUGAGUGUGGUCAUGCCUCCUCUGCUUCAGUCUGCUCAGCUAAAGCCUGAUGUGAUAAUUACAUCUGCUGAUUCAGACAAUGAAAUUGAUGAAUCGGAUGAUGAAAGGUGAACAUUUUCUUACAUUAUGUAGAUUUAUCUUAUAAAAAACUUAUUUACAUGUUUGAAUGAAAGUUGGCUUUAUUUACCACAAAUUCAUUCUUUAUCUAUUAGGUUGCCUAUAACUUCAUGAACAUAUCCCUCUGAGAAUGUCCUUUGCACUGUUGAAGCUUCUUUUAUGUUUUGUAUAGUAUUGUUUCUUGAUGACUAUUAGUUCUGAUAUGUGUUCACAUUGUUUGCAUCUUGGUUUUAGCGCUAUACAUUUCCGUUUGGUGCACACACAAUUUGCUAAUUGCUUCCAAUAUUAACACAUUUCUAUAAAUAUUGCAGCAUGGAGACCAUAACCCUCGGGGAUAAAAGGAUUGGAAUUAAGACCAGUGUCCUAGAGGAGAAGGCCACCGCUUGCAAUAUGUUGUGCUGCUAUGCUGAUGAGUUAAAGGAAGGUUUUUACCCAUGGAUAGAUCAGGUUAGUGGAAGUAAAUUGGUCUUUGCUGGAUGCCGUUGAUGGUAGAUCACAAUUUAAAGACGUUAUGGUAUAUUGUGUUUGACACAGGUUGCCCCUACUUUGGUUCCGCUUUUGAAAUUUUAUUUCCAUGAAGAAGUCAGGAAGGCUGCUGUCUCAGGUAAUGCAGUUUCUACUUGGAAUGUUUCCAUAUAUAGAAUAUUGAAGUUGCUAAUAUGGAUUAACGCUUUCAUUUUCAAUUUCUAGCAAUGCCGGAGCUGUUGCGGUCUGCAAAAUUGGCUGUCGAAAAAGGAAUUGCGCAGGGUCGUAAUGAGACAUAUGUUAAGCAGCUGUCAGAUUUCAUUGUUCCUGCUUUAGUGGAAGCCUUACACAAGUUCUAUUGAAUGUUCCAUACAGUUGUUUGCAUUCGUUGUGAUAUUGAUACUGGGCUCAUAAUUAUCAAUUAUGAUGCGGAACUGAUAUAGGUCUGUGCAAACAUGUUGGGUUGAAGAAUGUGGCAGGUGUAGAAUAUGUAAGAGCUAUCUUGUCUGUUUUGAGUACUUCACAGUUCUGUUAGAUAUUAUCUAAUUGUGUUUGCAUUUGUGAUUAUUAAUGAGUUGCAUGAAAUAUAUGCGACCUGAUAUGAUCGUCUAAGUAAUUUGGAGCUAACGAAUGUGUGCAUUGGUCACUGUAAUGUAAUAAUACCUGCUUGUGCAUGCUUGUAGAGUUCCAGACUUAAAUAUUAUAGAACGAUGAUAUUAUCGUUUUCAAAGUGAAAGUGUUGAGAAAACAGAGGACUAGGACUAUUUCAUAUAAGUAAUUAUAGUAUAAGAAUUAUUCAAGAGACGACUGCUGCUUGUUGGUAACAACUACCCACCAAGUGUGCAAUUUGCUAGAGUAGUAAAUUUAAUCUGUUCUUUUCAGUAGACUGGUAUGAGUUUUUGGUUAGUUGAGAUGAGUUGCUCAAUUAUUGUUAAAUAAAUGGGGGAAUGAUAGUUCUGGUUUUAAAUUGUAUUAUUAUUUCAUGGUUGUAUAUAAUGAAUUUACUGUAUAUGCUAGAAUUUAACUCGUCAUUCCCCCAUGUAUUCCUCUCAGAUUUCUGGAUCUCUUUUAGAUGAGAGCCAGGUUAGAAGCAUUGUGGAAGAGAUAAAACAGGUGAUCACAGCUAGCUCAAGUAGAAAAAAGGAGAGAGCUGAGAGAGCCAAAGCUGAAGAUUUUGAUGCUGAGGAGGGAGAACUUCUUAAAGAGGAAGAUGAACAGGAAGAAGAAGUAUUUGAUCAAGUUAGUAAAUUCACAUUUGGCUUUUCGGGAUAUAACCAAUUGUUUAAAUUCUGGCAGAUUGGAAACAUGAAAUCUUCCUAAGCUGGUCAUUUUUGUUUCAGGUUGGUGAAAUAUUGGGAACUUUAAUUAAAACAUUUAAGGCUUCCUUCUUGCCUUUCUUCGAUGAACUAUCAUCAUACCUGAUGCCGAUGUGGGUAAGCUAUUGCCUUUUCAUGUUGGAGAGCAAAAUCAGAGAAUUAGAACAUGGUUAAAACUUGAAUGUCUAUCUUAAACCUAAAAUUUUCAGUUCAUGAUUGGGACACUCCUUUUUUCUUGCAGGGGAAGGACAAAUCUGCUGAAGAGAGAAGGAUUGCCAUCUGCAUCUUUGAUGAUGUAGCUGAGCAGUGCCGUGAUUCAGCUCUGAAGUAUGUAAACAUGCCUUAAAAUAAUUAAAUUUGGUUUCGAUUAUGAAAUACAUACUUAGUUCCUGUCUUUUUUAUUUGAAUCAGGUAUUAUGAUACAUAUCUUCCUUUCCUCUUGGAGGCAUGCAAUGAUGAAAACUCAGAUGUUCGACAGGUUAGCCAAAGAUCUGAACUAUCUUGUAUUCCACACAAUCUUAACCAUGUUAAUCUAUCAUAUUUUAAUUGCCUCUUUUCUUUUUCAGGCUGCUGUAUAUGGGCUCGGAGUGUGUGCAGAGUUUGGAAGUUCUGUGUUUAAGCCACUUGUUGGAGGUAUUAUUGCCUGAAUGUGGCUGUAGAAAGCAAAUUUCAGCUCGAUAUCUGUAUUCUGACCUUUCUUUGUAAUCUUGUUCAGAGGCACUUUCUAGGCUCAAUGUAGUUAUUAGGCACCCCAAUGCUUUGCAACCGGACAAUGUGAUGGCUUAUGACAAUGCUGUUUCAGCUCUGGGAAAGAUAUGUCAGUAUCAUCGUGAUAGCAUUGAUUCAGCUCAGGUUCUCUCUCUCUCUCUCUCUCUGGGUCGUGUCAUUUUCUGAUUGAAUUUCUUGUUUCUCUGUCAUUCUCUUUUACCCUGAGAAUGGGCAUAUAGUUUUGGCUGAGUCAUUAUAUUGUCUUACUCUCCAGAUUUUCACUUUUAACUGAAUACUAUAAUAAUUUCAUGUCUCUUUGCAUUCGAUUAAUUCUAACAGUGUAAAAUUGUUCUGAUAGGUGGUUCCUGCCUGGUUAAAUUGUUUACCUAUAAAGGGUGAUGUUAUUGAGGCAAAAGUUGUCCAUGACCAGCUUUGCUCAAUGGUUGAGAGGUGAGGACCUGAAAUUCCUUUUCUUUCCUUUUAAAAAUAUAUACAAAUUUUUAUAACCUGAUUUGAUUGUCAUCUCUGCUUUACUUGUAUCACCUGUUUACAUAUAAUCUUUAAUUUCUGACUCCGCUGUCAUUUUUCCUUUUCGUAUAUCCUCUCAUUGACCACAAUUUCCUCCUUUCAGGUCUGAUUUGGAGCUUUUGGGGCCCAACAAUCAGUAUCUCCCUAAAAUCGUUUCUGUUUUUGCUGAGGUUAGUUAUGUUAACCAAUUUCAGGACCAUGAUAAUUAUUUUUAUAGUUCUCUAACAAUGUAGUUGCCCAUUCUAUUCUCAUUUUUGGUUUGAGAAGACCUGUAUCUUUCCUUCAAUUUCUGCAUCCCAUUUUCUGGAUUUCGGAUGAGAUUGUUUUUCAUUAUAUUUCUUCAGUGAGGUAAGGUCUUUUUUAAUAUUGUUUCAUCUCAGGUUCUCUGUGCUGGCAAGGAUCUUGCCUCAGAGCAAACUGCCAGUCGAAUGGUAAAUUUGUUGAGGCAGCUACAACAGACGCUGCCUCCAUCCACCCUGGCCUCUACAUGGUCGUCCUUGCAGCCUCAACAGCAGCUCGCGUUGCAGACAAUUCUGUCAUCGUAGUACUCAUGAGUGAAACCGUUGAUUUUAUAUUGAAUUGUCGGUUGUCAGUGGUGAUUUGUGCCGAUCAAGCAUUUGUUCGUCCAUUGUUUCUGAUGAGAGAGAUGUUCCGCAUUCUUUUGCACAAGGUUUUGGUCGAGUGAGGAUCCGUUUCGCAUAGAAAUGGAGUAGAGUCUGUAGACUGUGUAUAUUACAAGAUCACCUGUAUUGCUUCCAAAAACAGGGGGGAUCUGGUGUUCUUUUAUUUAUUUGUGAGAUUUUUGUGAACAACUGUGCUCUUCGAGGAUUGCCAGAGAGGCAAUUCCUGUCUCAGUUUUGGUCAGAUCAUGCUAUUUUUUUUCUCCCCCUUCUUUUUCUUUACAUCAGUGAUUGUUAUAGUACAGAGAUUUGGAAUUUUUUUUUUAAAAGAACAUUGUUAUUUGUUUUGUUUAUUUGUAUUCAGUGGUUGGAAAUAUUGUUUCCAACUAGUUAUAUGAGAAAUGAUACUUGGAUGUUCAAUUUCCAUCUUUGUACUUGUAAUCAAUAUUUGAUGUUCUCCAUCGCAUUUUAGUAUCGUACUUAAAUUGGUUUAUGUUUCUAGGGAAGCAGACAGUUAUAUGGUUGGAGUUGAACUGUUCCAACAACCUAUGAACCUUAUCAUCCUGUCAUAUCACACCUUAUUGAAGUUGUUGCUACUACUAUACCUAAUAUUUAUGCUCUUGGUGGUUUAUGGCAAUGGAGAUUCCUCUCUAGUAGCAAGCAUGCGCAUCAAGAUUCUUUAUCUGCCAUCUCAACUCAUUUUUUAAAAUCGACUAAAAUAAGAAUGAAAAGUCAUCCACGUGGCGGGGUUUGAGAGAUAGUGAAAAAGGAAAAUUUGGCAGGCCUUUGGUGAUUGCGAUUUGCAACCAAAGUUUAUGUUUAAUGUUUGACCAUUUGAGGAAUAUAACAAAAUGUUGAAGCUUCAACUACUCCCAUGAUAAAAAGGUAUAGAUUGUCUUUAUCUAGACUAGACCACAUUUGACUUGGUUUGUUUAUCAGUCCCAUUCUUGGUCUAAUCCAAAGAUGAAAUGGCUCCCAUGUCCUAUUUGUUUAUGUGCAAACUUGAAUUAUUGCAUCGUUUGACCCCCAAAGGAAUAAGUCUUAAAACCAUAGGAAUAUAUGAAGUGAAAAGUAGAGGAAUCUACUCUUUUAGCUGCAUUUUGAUAGCUCGAGUUCGAAGGUAUAUUAGUGAUUGUAGGCUCAACCCAUGCCGUCACGAAACUGAGCACAAAAAAGAGGCCAAGAACGUGUUGAGCAAUAUGCAAAAAUGGGAUAAGGCAUGCCUCACAUAAUAAAUACAAACAAACAUUUAAUACAAUAAUAAUUAAUUAGUCAUGCCUACGACUCAUGGUUCAAUAGUUACCCCCACUCAACAUGUUCGAAGAAACUAGUCAACUCUCUUACCACAACAAAUAAUUCAAAGCAAAAACACAAGAGACAAACAAAUAAGACAUACUCUUUGUUCCUAUAAAAACACCCAUUCUCAUCUCCUUGUUCAAAUCAAGUGUUUUCCCCUCUUACAACCUCGAGCACAACUAAAUCAAACCAUGGAACUUCACUUCCAUAGCUCCUCUUCAACCAACAGCAACAACCACACAACAUAUAAGUCCACAAACAGAAGCCCUAGCAAGAGCAAGUUUGUGGGAGUGAGGCAGAGGCCCUCGGGCAAAUGGGUGGCGGAGAUCAAGAACACGACCCAAAAGAUCCGGAUGUGGCUAGGCACAUUCGACACAGCUGAGGAAGCCGCCCUAGCUUAUGACGAGGCAGCUUGCCUCCUUCGUGGGUCAAACACACGCACCAACUUCUUGAACACCAUGCCUUGCAACCCGGCCCUCUCCUUGAAGAUCAAGAACUUGUUGAAUCAAAAGAGGAGCCAAAAUAAGGCCAUUAGCCCUCCAACUUCUGCUACAAGGUAUACUGAUCAAGAUGUCAAUGGCAAGGCCAUUGAUACUACUACUAGUAGUAGUAGUAGCUCUCAAUACACUACUAAUGAGAGCUUUAGCAGCAACCAAAUCCAAAUGGAGGGCUCUCUUGAUUUCACCUCCAAUCCAUGUGAGGAUGCGUAUAAGCCCGAUUUCAGCCAUUUCACGCCCGGAUAUGAGAUGAUUACCCCUCAUUUCAAUCUUGACAAGGCUGCAGACGCGCCUAGAAGAGGCGCGAAUGAGGCGCCUUCUUUCUCGGAUUUUGAGAGAAUGAAGGUUGAGAGGCAGAUAUCAGCAUCACUCUAUGCCAUGAAUGGCAUAAAUGAAUACUGGGAUACCAUCAAUGACUCAAAUGAUGCUUUGUGGGAUAUUCAAACUCUCUGCCAAAUGUUCUGUCCAAGUUAAAACAAAGACUAGAUGGAUUCCCUUUUUUUUUUGCAAUUUUUGAGCAGUGGCUAAAUCAAGUUAGGAAGAAAGUGAUUGAGGUUGUUGUUAGAUUUGCUUCAUAAACUUCUAGAGGGAUCAUCCAAUGUGCCUCAAAGAUUUAUUUUGUAUUUUAAUUUUCACCAACUUUUGGAACAUGAACAACUUUGCCUCAUCUUUAUAUUAGAAGCUAUUAAUAAAUCAUCUAAAAUUUUAAUUUUCUUGCAAAACUCUAACUGCAUUUUUAUAUAUUACUUCUACUAUAGAAGAAUUGGAGGAGACUUUAUGCUUAUGUUACAUUUUUUUUUUNCAGAAUUUUGUUUGUAAUUUAAUGUUAGUUCGACCACCGUCUUUCAUUAACAUCUUUCUUGGGAUGUAUCGAACCAAGAUUAAUUCAAACAAUGUUGAAUUUUGACUUUUUCUUUUUAAACUCAAUUCGGUCUGAUUUAUAUUGAGUCAGAUUUAAUUAAUUUUGUUAAUAUCGAGCCAUACUCGAGCUUGAGUUCGACUCGAUUAACUCCGAGCCGGUUCAAUCCGGUCUGAGGCUGCCGUACAGCAUAAAUAUACAGCAACUUCUACGUACUAAAAUGGCAUUUAUUGAGUUAGAAGCAGUCAAUUUUAGAUUUUACCAACCAAUUCUAAAGGAAAAGUACAACUUAUAUAUGACUAAAGUUAAUUUAUUUCAUUUACAUUCUGCCGUCUACUUCUGAUUGGACAAUGUAUCUCGUAUUAGAUUGAAAUUGGAUCCAUGAAACUACAUUGAUAGAUACAUCAAUAAAUAUAUUUUUUAACCAUAUAGCUUAUUGCAAAUGACAUAAGCUAAAACGGAUUUGGGGUUUGUUUUUCGUUACAGCUUUUAGAUUUUUUGGAAAGCAUUUUCCAAACUAGUAAAUGCGUGCCUUGCCAUCGCAAAAUAAGAAAUAGAUUACUACUAUUUGGCUAACGAUUAUAUCAAUUUAAUCAUAUUAUUAAAGCCGAAUUACUAAUUAGAGAAAAAAAGUUACAUGUUGAAGUUUUGCUAUUUCUUGUUUUGUCCUAGUCUGUGGAUGACCAAAUUCAUUCUAAAUAAUUAUAAAUUGGUCAUUGAUAGUAGAUUAAAUAAAUAAAUGAAGAUAAGUCAGUGGACUAAUGUGUAAUAGUUGAGGUAGGCCUAAGUUUAAGAGGGUCUAUGAAACCCAUUUAGUCGGCCCAAAUCCAACAUACAUAAAACAAAACCUGCCACAUUAUUAGUUGCCACAUUAUUAGUUUUACUUAAAUGCACGGUCAUACCUAUUUAAUUACAAAAAUAAAAACAAAUUGCGUACGUGUGUUGGUCAAGUGGGGCUAAUGCCUAAGACUAAAGGUCUUGAGUUCGAGCCCUUGUGGCGCGAUCAUUUAAUUUCUUUAUCUAAUAUUAUAAAUUUAUCCAAAAAAAAGAUAAAAACAAAUUUAUUUGACAUGAGUUUUAUGGAGUUAGUAUUUAGUGUGAAAUGCAUCUCGCUUGCUUAACUAAUUAACAGUUGUUAAUUAACUAAUUAUAAUGCACGAGAAAUAUAGAUAACUAGUAUACAGGUUACUAAAACAACCGUACUUUUGCAGUUAGAGUUUCGUUAUACUUCAUCUACAAGUUAAUCCAUUGUUACUCCCACUCCAUUCAUGCACUAUAUUUACGAACAGAUUAACAUAACUAAUGAACAUACGUAUUUAGUAAAAAUAUAGAAAAACUCGCCACCAGCAGUAUUCGAACUCGGGGGCCUGUUCAUGCGGUACAUUGAUCUGUUCAUUAAAAUUAUAGAUCUGUUCGUUUUUAUUUUACGAAUUCUCUAUUCUCCAUAAUAUUUAGCUUCUCUGUUGAACCAUUCUCUCUCUCUCUAUAUAUAUAUAUGUGUGUGUGUGUGUGUGUGUGUGUGUUGUUUAGUAUAAUUAAUUAAACCUGGUUAAUAAAUUCUAUUUACUUAAACGACCAUUGAUUUUUCUGAGCAUCUACAACAUGUAUGGUUGUUCUCGAUCUUUUAUGGUACUUGUUUUUGUUUGUUAAUUAACCAAAAAUUAUAGAUUAAAUCAUAGGAAAAGCAAGUUGUGAAAUUUUGUUAUUUGGCUGCAUGUUUAAUUUAAUGAUUUGUUUGAUGAUGCUAAUAAAAAGUUUGACGUGAGAAGAAGAUGAGCAGAAGAAGAAAUCAAUGAGGUGAGUUUAAAGUUGAAAUAAUUAAGAAUUAUGUAUGUAUGAAAAGAUUGGUAAUUUUGAUUUGUAAUUGAUGGAGUGAGGUGCAUAGAUAUAUAGAGUAUUGCAUAAUAAUGCAUUACAAGAGUAAAAAGGAGAUCGUGGAGUUUAUUGGUAGUGAGGCCAACAUUGAGCCUGUGUUUAUUAAAACGAGUAAGAUUUGAUUUAAUUUGGUGAAAUUAAUUAAUGUAAUGUCGUAAGAUGAGUGCUUGAUGAGAUGGUGUUGCAAUUUGGGAACGGCAAAACCGAGAAUGCUUGGAGAUGAUGAUGCCUCUCAAUCUCAACUACUCUCAUUCUCAACCCAUGCAACCACACCACAUGCUCCAUCUCCAUUCUAAUGCCUCUCAACAACACAACCACAACAACUGGCCAAACCACCUCCAUCCCCAAUUCUACUGCCUCGCAACAGGAUGCAUCAACACCAACACCAACACUUACUUUUUAAUUUCAGCUGCUUUCUAUUCUUUUUCUUCUUUACAAAUUAUCCCUUGUCUUUUAAAUCUCAUUCGCACUUAAUAUUUAUAAAAAUGUCACCUUUAAUUUUUUAUUUUGGUAGGCCCAACACCACUAAAGAAUAAGAAUGACUGCUCUUCGUAAGACCUUAUUUACACUAAAAAAAUACAAUGUUCGUGACGAAAAGUAAAACUUGAGUCGAAAUAAUGAGUGUCAAACAUUAAAAAAAAAUGAAAUGAUAAAAUGUAUUUUGAAGAAAGUCAAAGUUGUUGAACAUGGGGAUCCAAGAAAUCCAUAAAUUCUUUCUAAAUUAAUAGAAAAGUGAAAUAAAAAAAAUCUAAAUAUUUUGCUUGAAAUUUUAACAACUAAGAUUUAAUAAAAAGUUGAAUACAAGCAAAAACAAGAAGCAUAUUAAUACAAAAAGAGAGAGAAGUUCAUCAAACUGCCAAACUUUUAACACACCAACUAUAUCAGUAGUCUUCACCUUCGUCUUCUUCUUCGUCAACACCUUCUGCACCAACUUCUUCAUAGUCUUUCUUAAGAGCAGCCAAAUCUUCACGAGCUUCGCUGAACUCACCUUCCUCCAUUCCUUCACCGACGUACCAGUGAACAAAUGCUCUCUUGGCAUACAUAAGGUCGAAUUUGUGGUCAAUGCGUGAGAACACUUCAGCAACUGCUGUGUUGUUGCUGAUCAUGCACACAGCGCGCUGCACUUUGGCAAGAUCGCCACCGGGUACCACAGAAGGAGGCUGGUAGUUGAUUCCGCAUUUAAAGCCAGUCGGGCACCUGUAUGGAUGGGGCAUUUUCACACUUUUUUCUUAUUGAAAUUCAAGAAAAUAAUUAACUUCUUUCCACUUGAAGCUAUUUCUCUUACCAGUCCACGAAUUGAACAGUCCGCUUAGUUUUGAUGGUAGCGACAGCUGCAUUGACAUCCUUGGGGACAACAUCUCCACGGUACAUCAAGCAACAAGCCAUGUAUUUUCCAUGACGGGGAUCACAUUUUGCCAUCAUGCUCGAGGGCUCAAACACUGCAUUUGUGAUCUCAGGCACUGAUAGCUGCUCGUGGUAUGCUUUCUCGGCUGAGAUCACAGGUGCGUAUGAUGACAACAUGAAAUGGAUACGAGGAUAUGGUACAAGGUUGGUCUGGAACUCUGUAAUAUCUACAUUAAUGGCUCCAUCAAACCGUAGAGAAGUAGUCAAGGAUGAUAUGAUUUGGGAAAUCAAACGAUUCAAAUUGGUAUAUGUAGGUCUCUCAAUAUCCAAUGACCUCCGGCAAAUAUCAUAAAUGGCUUCAUUGUCCAACAACACAGCAACAUCUGUGUGCUCAAGAAGAGAAUGAGUGGAAAGAACACUGUUGUAAGGUUCAACAACUGCAGUGGACACCUGUAAUACAAAUCAAAUCAAAUUAUAAAUUCCCUCAUGCGUGCCAUAUGCAAGCAUCUCAAGCAAACCAUUCUACUCAUGUCCUACACUUCACAUAGCCAACAUGCACAUAAAAUUGGAGAAUGACACCAUCUCGCAAAGCUAAAUGGCACAAUUACUAGCAAGUUAAAGCACCUGGGGUGAAGGAUAGAUGGUAAAGCCAAGCUUCGACUUUUUCCCAUAGUCUACAGACAAGCGCUCCAAAAGCAACGACCCCAAUCCAGAACCAGUACCACCACCUACAGCAUUGAAAACCAAGAACCCUUGCAGACCAGUGCAGUUAUCAGCCAAUUUCCUCACUCUGUCGAGGCAUAAAUCGACAAUCUCUUUUCCCACUGCAAAUAAAGCACCACAAAUUAACCAAAUUAGCUACACCUUCAUAUAUUGCCAAUGCAACAAACUAAAUGACAUCGAGUACUAUACAACAAAUAGAAAAUAAACGUAUACCUCAAAAACUUGUAUGCUAACAUACCAAUUUCCUAUUUGGGACUAUCAUAAGCAUCCUAUAGUUAUGGAAAACAAUCUCAAACUCCACAAGUAUAGUUAACACAGCUGCAUACCGGUGUAAUGCCCUCGAGCGAAAUUGUUGGCAGCAUCUUCCUUCCCAGAGAUAAGCUGCUCGGGGUGAAAGAGCUGACGAUAUGUCCCUGUCCUAACUUCAUCAAUGACGGUGGGCUCAAGAUCAACAAAAAUAGCUCUCGGCACAUGCUUUCCUGAUCCAGUCUCGCUAAAGAAGGUGUUAAAGGCAUCGUUCCCUACACCCACCGUCGUGUCACUACAAAUUCAGAAAGAAAUUAGAUCUCACCAAAUUCAGAAAUCUCGAAAUUUGGGGGGGAACUCGCUAGAUUCAAAAUCAGAGUUAGUAAAAAAAAAAAAAACACUCCAAAUUCAAACAAAAUUCAAGAGCAUAUAACUGAAAUCACGCUCUCACUCUGAUAAUCCUAGUUCAACCAUGAUCUACAUUUUACCAAAUUAAUAUUACACUGAAAUAUUGAAAGAAAAAAAAAUCAAAUGCACGCAGUUAUGACGUUCUAAAGCUUAAACGAAAACGAAUGCAGAAGAUAUAAAAAAAAGUAUAUAUAUAUAUAUAUAUAUAUAUAUAUAUAUAUAUAAUAAACNUAAAAUAAAUAAUAUAUAUAUAUAUAUAUAUAUAUAUAUAUAUAUAUAAACAAACACAGGAAAUUGUAAAUCAAGAAAAAAGAAAUAAUACCUAGGCAUCAUUCCAUCGGGCUGGAUGCCAUGCUCGAGGCAAUAGAGUUCCCAGCAAGAAUUCCCGACCUGAAUCCCUGCUUGCCCUAUGUGUACGCUUAUGAUUUCUCUCAUCUUCUCUCUCUACAAAGUGUCUUCAGAAGAAAUGAGAAUCAAAUCUUUACAAACCGGAUAGCCUAAGCCUCCUCGUUCCCUUAUUCCUCUCUCUCCCUCUCUUUCUCUAUAUGUAUAUGUGUAUAUAUCUAUUAGCUAGUUUGUAGCUAGUGAGUAGUGAGGCAGUAGAAAAUGAAAUUUGAUAAUAAAUGGGUCGGAAUCCGUGGGCCCACCAUUAGGCGCCAGCUUUGAUGUGGGCCCCAGCCCAUAUCGACUUCCAAACUUCCAUACUUUAAUGACAAAAGGGCCCCUGUCUCACUGGUGUUGGUUUGUUGGGAAUCAUUACAACUUAAUUUAAUAAGUAGUAGUAGUUCGCCUAAAAAAAUAAUAAUAAUAAUAAUAGUAGUUAAUACUCAAUCUGUUCCACGAAUCUUGGCACAAGAAUUAAUGAGUUGUAGAUUAAUAUUUUAAGUGUGUACUAAAUAUAAAAAUGAUAAAGUAGGGGAUCGGAGAGAAGGAAAUAAAAGUGAUAAAGUAGGAAAGAGUGGGUAAUAAAAGUGAUAAAGUAAGAAGGUAUUUUCCUAUUAACACUAAUAAGUGUAUAUGAGAAAUCAACUUUCAGUUCGGCUUGGGACGGAUGUUAUCACGACUUGAGUUUGACUUUUAAUGAAAUUUCUAAUAAUUAUAACGAAGAAUAUAUUUGGUGGAAGUUAAAAUUGCGCACUUUAAGUGAAAGAUAUGUUUAUAUAACUUGAAAAUAUAUACUAAGAUUUUAUUAAACAAAUUAUAAUCUUCUCGGAGAUAUUUAGGAAUCAUCAAAAAAUGAUUAUAAAUUAAAUAUUAAUAUUUUAUUCCCGCAUUUCAGCGGAAUUAACUGUUUGAAUUAAAUUGGCAAUACAGCUAUUUUUUCAUGAUUUCGUAAAAUUUUUAUUAUCUAUUGAAGACAGAUUUUACUAUCUUUUUUUUCCCAUAAGCAAAAGGUUCAUGUGCAGUACACAACAUUUUUGUAGUCAGAAUCCAAACUUCCAACGAAAUUAAGGGGAAACUCGCAAUAAUGUACUACUAUUAGGUUUAUGGUGUAAUCAUAAAUCUUGAUUUGCAUCGAACCAACACUACAACCACCCCAUAAUUCCAAGAUUUAACUGCAAGCCCACCUAAGAUUUUAUGUAUAAGAGAAGAAAAAAAAAGGCAAAAAAAAGAAGACAUAGUAAUUAGUAGUACUACUUUUGAACCCAAAUAAAGGAGCAUGCAAGUACAAACAAAGACUUGGGAUAAAAGAAAGAAAUCAAUGUUGAAUGUCUCGCGUUUAAAUUUUAUCAACGUCUUUUAAGUCGAACUUUGUUAUACAUGAUUUUUCAAAUAUAAAGCUUGUAUACUACACAUGAACCAAGUUUACCCAAUAACAGUACACACCUUGAUAACAGCUCCAUAUUUCCAUGUCAUAGAAAAAUGGUUGGGGAUCAGAAUUGAAAACAAAAAAAAUCAAAAUGAGGAGAUAAUGUUUGAUGAUGAUAUAAAAAGUACAGCAAUGAAAUGUAUUAUUGGAAGGAAAAGAUUUAGGAAGGUCCAUGUGCAUGUGUGUUAGAUAACCAACUAGCUGGUUUAUUCACAUGCAUUUAUUCCUCUUCAUUGCUGGACUGUACUUCCAACUUUGUUUUUAAAUUAUUAUUUUUUUCCCAAAAAAUUGUUUAUUGCAUUUAUGUUGGAAUUGUUUCUUCACUUUAUGCGGAUGUGAAUUGACUCCCAUUUUUAUGGACCUAAAUUUGAUACUACAAAUAGGAAAAUAAUUAAUAUUGGGCCUCCCAUAUAUCAGCAAAUUAAAGCCCACUAUAUUACCGAAUUGGGUUGGUUGCGUUUUAAUUUUUGGAGCUCUAACAAAUUCAAAGAGUAAUCACCAAUUCAUCAUCCACUUAUCUGCGCCAUUUUUCUUCACUCAAUUCUUCUAUCGAAAACUACAUUGGAUUUUUAUUUAUUUAUAGUAUUUUUUCGGGCGGCAGCAAUGGCGGCAAUCGUAGCUACAGUUGGGCCAACGAUGGCGGGUGUGACUUCACCAAAUUCAUCUAUUCCUUUUUCUGGUCACCUCUGGCCUUCUCUUCACCGUAAAUCGCUUAUCCUCCAUCUUCAUUUGUGAAAUUUGUGCUUGAUAUUGACAUUUUAUCUUCAUAUUUAAUCUCUGAUGAUUCUAUCUUGUUACAGUUUGUAUUUAUGAUUUUUCAGAAAGAAAUGUUUAGAGAUUUAAGCUAAGUAUUGUUUCCGCAAGGAGCUAAUUAAGAGUAACAAAUUGUUGAGUUUUGAAAAACAGUAUUUUUAGCUUUUUCAUUGUGGAAAAUCAUUUAUGUACUUUAAGCCUAGUUCAACUAUUUAACUUUCCUGUGAAUAAUAAUGUUCCUGCUCUUUAAUUCUUAUGGAAUUGAUAUUGUACUUACCUUGAACGUUAUCUUUUUUCCUGAAAUGCUCACAUAUAGUGUCAAAGUGUUGGUUCGCAUCUGGUUAGAACAUUCAUAAUUUGUUUGAUUAGCAAUUCGAAGCUGCUUAAAUACCUACUAUCGUGCUAGCACCAAACUAGUGGGAACAUUCAGAACUUGUUUCAUUAACAAUUUCAGGUUUUCCUUCAAUAUACUCUUUAAACUUAGAGAGAGAGAGAGAGAGAGAUGCGUCGAUGUCUAGGAACCACCAUACGAAAAAAGGACUAAGUUGAUCUAGUUAGGAAUUAAGGGUCAGAUAAGUAAACCUCUUGUUCUUAAAACCAGCAUUGAGUUGAUCUGUGAGUUUACUUCUGGAAAGACAAAUUUAUUGUCUUCUUAUUGGCUUUACUUUCGUUCAAAAUUUGAGGCGGUUAGGCCUUCUGUUAGACAUAUCUUAGCCAUAUGUUCAUUUGUUUUUAUGACUCAGCUGAUGAGUUGAACUGUCAACUAUUCACCUCAACUUAUACUUUUGUGUUACUUUUGUGUAUAUAUUUUGUUUGUGCUACAAUAUAAAUAUAGUUGAAAUGGACAACAGAAUGCAAAAAGUAACAGUGUAUAAGAUAAAGCAAUAAGCUUCACUUUGGUAGCAGCAGAGCAGAAACAAAGGAUGUGUCGAUUGUUGAAGUAAUGGACACAGUUUAUCAAAGCACCAAAGCCAACUUCCCCGCCUCUUCCUUUUUCACCUAUAAAGAUAAUGAAAGUUGAUGCUGCAGCAGCUGCAGUUCAGGUCCGUCAUGACAAGACCAUUAGAUUUGGAGAGAGGCAAAGUCGAAGCUGCACCACUUGUGGAUUACUUUCUUCUAUCAAAGCUGUAGAAAACAGCUCAGAUGAGGUAAUCGCACAAGAAAUGGAAGAAGCAGAAGAAGAGAAUCUGAAUGUUUCCCAAAUCAAACAACACCUCUUUGCUGCUCUACAAGGUGCUGGAAAAAAUUAUUUAUCACUCUACUGUCUUAUAAACACCUGUAACUUGUUUGUGUUGACAAGUUUGAACAAAGAGAGUGUGUUACAGGCAUAAAUAGAGGCAUAUUUGGAGUCCCAUCAGCCAAGAAAAGUGAAAUCCAAAAACUGGUUGAGCUUCUUGAGUCUCAAAAUCCCACACCUCAACCCACUCUCUGCUUAGAGAAGGUGCUUGCUUGCUUGUCUCUAGUCCACUUUAGGGAUUUUGUGGAGUUAUUAAUCGGAAAUUUUACAUCAGGUAGCUGGAGCUUGGAAGCUCAUCUAUAGCACCAUUAGUAUUCUCGGCUCGAAAAGAACUAAACUAGGAUUGCGGGAUUUCAUUAAUUUGGGAGACUUCAUCCAAAUUAUAAAUGUUGCUCAGGUAUUCAAUUGAAUUAUAAAUAAAUUUUUCUAGCUAUUGUGAUCCCUUCUGGGGUUGUUUGCCUUAAAGCCUUCUUCUCCUAUUUAGGCAUGUUCAUACUCAAUAGCUAGAAAGCCUACGUCAUAAAAAUAUUGUCUGAAGUUAUGUCAAGUACAACACUUUUGCACUCAAUAAUUGGAACCAUCAUACCUUCCCUUAAACUGUUCUCUUUAUGAUUGGAUGCUUCAUUUCACAAAUUUGUAAUAACAUGUAGCAUUUUUUAUGAUGGAAAAAUGGAGGGUAAAGCUGUAAAUGUGAUCGAGUUCAGUGCCAAAGGGCUGACUCUACUGAGUGGACAGUUAACAAUUGAUGCUUCUUUCAGGAUUGCCUCAAAUUCAGUGAGUGCUUUGUACCUUGUACAUUUUAAAACAUUUAUGAGGAUUCUUUCUGUUCUCAUGGUCUAAACUAUGUGUAGCGAGUCGAUAUCAAUUACCAAAAGUCAGUGAUCACCCCAGAUCAGGUAUGAAUGAUCCCAUCUCAUUCCCUGCAGCAGUGUCUUAAUGUGCAUACACACAUUUGACUUGUAUAAAGGCAAUAGAGAAUCUCUCAAUAGUAGUUGGAAUCCCAUCCAUCUUUACAAGCUAAUGUGAUCAUUGGCUUAUAAAUUCUUUGUUCAUCUUGAUUGCAACAGUUGAUGAAUGUUUUCCGCAAAAACUACGAUGUGCUUCUAGAAAUCUUCAAUCCUGAUGGUUGGCUCGAGAUCACGUAUGUUCAUCUUGUGAUUUAACCUUACCUUUUGGGAAUUUGAUUGUCAAAAGAUGGAUGUAUAUAUGAUUCCAAACAGACCAUUCUUUUAUUUUGUGAUGACAGAUAUGUUGAUGAUUCAUUGAGAAUCGGCAGAGAUGACAAAGGAAAUAUCUUCAUCUUAGAGAGUAAAAAUUUGCUGACUUGUAAUCACUGGUUCAUUCAUAUCCUUUUGGUUUUUGAUGUGGUAAUACAUUAUCUGACAGGAACAAGUUAAACAAAUCCCCCCAAAAUGGCUAAAAUUUACAUUGGCCAUUGUCAACUUCACUGUCUUGUUUCUAGAUGUGCCAGUUGAUGGAGCCCUGGGCUUGAAAUUUGGUGGAAACAAUACUUUAUUACAUUUGCAUCCUAGAAACGGGAGAGAGAGACGGAUCUCGAGUCACCGUCUGCCUGCAACAGCUGCCUUGCCAUCUCCGAUCAUCAGUCGACAGCCGUGCCAUCAACACUGAACCAACCAAAUUUCUGUUUUCUUUUUCCAAUUCUAUUUGUUUUAAUUUAUUCUAGCUUUCUAUCAACUGUAGUUCUUGUUAUUUCAAUAUGGUGUCUGGAACUAUAAGAAAUCUUAUGAUGAUGGAUUUUACUUGGUGAAAUCAAGUUUCUUUUAAGGUCUGUAUUGUAUCACAUGUUGGUACCUAUAUGCUGAUUUGGUAUUAUGAAAGUGUUUAUAAUUAAAUCUCUUUUUCGUCUUUCAAAAGUUGAGUGUUAAUAAAUUGUUGACUCAAUUUUGGCGUGCAUGUGCGUGAGAUCCAAGUAAAUUUUACAAGAGACAUAAAUCGUUAAUUAUAGAAUAUAAUUAGAGAAAAUGUGUAAUGUGAUUGAUAAACCAAUGAGAUGAAAAAUUAUUAACGUGAAGAGAGAAAAAUUAAGUUGGCCCAAAACUGAAUAGUUUAGUCGAAUUGACAUUCAUAAUUAAGAGUUUAGGAAUACUUACUAUCUGCUGCAAUAGAUCAAGAUUUUGUUACAAAAAUGAACUUUCACUCUGCUCAAGUCUCUUAGUACCAUAUUAAGCAACCUUAUUAAACCUUAAAAAGGAUGAACAUAUCGUAUCAUCUCAUAUCAAUCUAGCAACUAAAAGGGUAACUCACUUCUUCAAAAUGAUUGCUUGGCCACAAACUGAUCCAGUCUACUACUGUUCAAGUCCUGAGAAACCAGAUUGCAAUUACAGUCAGUCACAUACCCAUCUUCGAUGUUAAUAUUAGUAGAAGAGAACAUGAUAGAUCUCAAAAUACUAGAAAAAAUUGACAGACCUGCUAACGUAAGAGUUGUCUGUUGUAUUGAUAAUAAUCUUAUCUCCAGUUGCAAUAUGAGCAGGGACCUAUUAUAAAAAGAUAUGCAAAAGAGUUGGAUGGAGUUUGCAUACAUCAUUAAGUGGAAAAACAAACAUGCAACCAGCAACCAGCAACCAGCUAAAAAAUAGAAAGCAACUUUGAAAUCAUUAGAAAUGUCAUUCUCCAUGCAUACAUUUACAAGUUCCAAAUAUUUAUGAAUCUCACUAGGAUAGGGAGCAACGUCAAGCCGACUACCCAAAUUUCUUUAAUAGCUUCAUUUUUUUCUCAAUUCCUAGCUGGUUAUAGAUAAGGACAAGUCAUCAUAGUAGUGGACUCAUAUGAUUACGCAACACAUGCAGUUACUUCUAUGUGAACACAUUGUGGGAUUGUAUAGACUUCCAAAUAUAACCUUUGUAUCCAUUAAUCAAAUCCCUGGACAAUUCAAGUUUAUAAACAGUGGAUGGUCAUGCAUCUGAAACAGAAUUCACCUCAAUCGGAAACAUUUGAUCAAGAAAGUUCUUAAAGCUGAUGAAAACGGCACAUUACGAAUAUUACCUGGACAGUUAAACCAUUGUCCAACAAAGCCCUCUUAUAACUGUGACAGUGAAGAAUACAAGGGUGUGUUAUAUUAUAAAUAACAUGCCUUUAGGUGAAGGGAACACAAUCAGGAAAACAAAAGUGUUUUGUUUUUUAAUAAUAACUCACAAAUCAUAAAAUGACUAGAGCACGUGUACUUACGGUGGGGUCCCACUUCCCUUUUGUGCUUCCGCCGCUUCAACAACUGUACAUGUUACUUUAUUUGGAAUUGAUGCUGACAAGGGUCUAUCAUCAUAAAGUUGGACGGAGACUUCCAUACCAUCUGCAUAGUCAAGCAAAAACAUUUUAUGGUACAUCAGAGGUGGCUGGCAUUAGCAAUAUAUACAAUGUUACACAACAAGAAAGUUUGCAUCUGAGUUUAGAGAUGAAAUAACAUAACCUUGAAGGAACACACGAGAUUCACCAAAUAAGUGUGGUUGUACUUCUAGCUGGUCAUAGGUUUUAGGGCUGCAUUGAAAUGCAUCAUUCAAAUCCUUUAAAAUAUGUUACCCAAGUAGUACUAACUAGAAAGAUAAACAGAAGACCUCAACACUUACUCCAUUAAAACAACAUUUCCUGUAUCCCCAUCAUCAGUGUAAAGGUAUUCAAAUGACUUCUCCUGAACAUAUAUCUCUGUAUAAUACUGCCAAAAUUCAGAGGACUACAAAUAGAAUAAUCUUUGGACAUCUACAUAGGCCGAUCUACAAGCAGUGCCCUUAUCAGCAUGAGUGUUAGGUUAGCAAGCAGUAUCUAAAAUUAUCUUUUUCAUAUGCCUAUAGGCUCAUUCAAUGCAGAGAAACUGAUAAAAAGGAAUAAAGGAGGAUCAGAAAAUUUGUGAACUUAUCCAAGUCCCUAAAUGGAGAAGUUGAAAAUGGUUCAGGUAGUAAUAAAAGAAAUAACUUUAAAAACUAGGCAUUUUCUUUCCCAUUCUGGUGACAACAAGAUGAGAAUGCAUACUUUCAAUGCUCUCAUCUGUUCGCAACCUUUCAUUCACUUUAUUCCCACUAUCAACAUCACGGAGCUCCACCUGUUAGCAUUCGACCAAGAAGAAAAGAGGAAUUUCUUUAAAUAUAUUUUCAUAAGAAAGGGCUUAAAUUUACUGGGCAUGUAACUAUAAUACAAUUUCCAUCCAUCCAAAUCCAAGACCUUCCAACAGUACAUGCACUUAAUCAUAUAAAAGUUUAUAAGUAUUGGAUGAGACCUGUAUGAUAGCUCCUCCUCUUCCUUGGGUGCUAUGUUGUGCCUUAAUCACCUAGUAAAUAAUUUAGAUUGUUAUGCUUUUUCCAUAACUAUACUACUUAGUCAGUAACGCGUAAAAAAUUUCACCCAUAAACUGUAAAACUAGAGUACUGGAUAAUUACCUCAUAAAUCUUUCCUGUGUUGCAUCAGCAGCAAUCGAGAAACAAUGUCAUAGAAAUCCCAUGGCAUGCAUGUUUAUUUAAUUAUAUCAUCACCAUUCAAUUAAUUUUGAAAAUCUAACCUCUUCUUUCAAUGACGUUUCCCGGUUUCACCUGCAUCAAUAAAAAUAAGCAUGAAAUACCAAAACUUGAAGCUGGAAGGAGCUCAUAACUUCAAGCUGAGCAUGCUCUGUUCUGUGCCAUAAUUUAAAUUGUUCUUCACAAGAUUUUGAAAUUGUUCUAUUUCAGAGGUUAUUGGAGAGAAUGUUGAUCCCAUAUUUACAAAACACAAUGCUAGUCAAAUGUCUUAUUGUUACCGUCUAUCUUCCAAUUUACAGAAAGCAUAUUUCUGCCUUGUUAUGCUGCAUUAUUUAAAUCUGUCACCAUCACAAUAUCAACGGGAUUAAAUUAUGAUUAAAAGAAAAAUAAAUUCCAAAUCUCAAUAAUUCCCCCUUCCAAGCAUAUAUUUUCCAGUUAUUGCAGAUAGUAGCACUUGACUUGAUCAUUUACUAACUGAAUCACAAUAAAAGAGAACAAAACAAUAAGAGAGAGAAAUAGAGAGAGUAAAAAGUCUCAAAUUCAACUCAAAAAAGGGAAUAUUAGCUCCAAAACGAACCUACAUCGAACAACUAAUUACUACGAUAAAAAAUAACUAGACUAGAUAAACUCACUAAGUGAAAGCUUAUCAUGAAAAUGUAAAUUGUUUCAUUGAAAACCACCAGGCAUACAGUUCAAGGAAAGUAUUUUAGGAGUGAAAAAUAGAAGCAUACAUCUCCGCCGGAGAAUCUGGCGCCGCGGAGCUGGGUGGCGGACCACGGCGACUCGAGGAGGCCGCCUCCCAAUGGCUGGGAUUUAAUUCGGAGGCUGUACGUUGAGAAAUUCCUGCGGCUGUGGUGAGCUCCGGCGGCGGCGUAUGAGCGAAGAGCGGCGGACAGCCGUCGAGUGAGGACUCGCAUUUUCUUAUACGUUAAAUUGAAUUGAUCUGAAAAUAAGUACUCCGUGUAUUUAUACUUAACCCUCUUAUCUGAAUAUGAAUUUUUUAUAGUUAAAAUAAAAAUAAAUUAAUUAAUGACUCUAUUACCAUGUAUUCGAAUUCAAGACAUCGGGGUUGUAGGCCAACAAGUGACAAAUGCUGCUUCCAUCCCACAAAUCUUGAAUCACUUUUUUUUACACGGAAAUUAACGAGGUGAAGAUUAAUAUUUUAAGUGUGUAGGUGAAGAUUAGUGUUUUAAGUGUGUAGUUAAUAAAGUAGAAAAAUGAUUAGGUAAAUAUAUAAGUAAUAAAGUAGAAAAGUGAUACAGUAAAAAAGUACACAAUUAAUUAAGAUAAGUUUAAUUAGAACCCCUUAUUUUCCCCGAAUUCUUACUAUAUAUAUAGAAAUGACUCAAAAUUCAAAAUUCGCGGGAUGAAGGGAGUAACAAUUACAAAUAAUUAUAUUCAAAAACAAUUACGAAUAAUAAAAUUAAGGGGUUUUGGCAUAUAAAAUCACGAACUAUUUCAAAUUUGUAAUUUAACUUGAUUUUUGAUGUGUGACGAAUUAAAUCAUUGCCUUUUAAUUUUUGCAAUUCCAUCCCUUAAUUUUUUUUCGAUCGUGAGAUUGUUGAGUUGACGUUUACGUGGAUUAGUUCGCCACAUAAUAUCCAUGUUACGACGUCGUUUUCUAUAAAAUUGUUGAAUAUUGGAUAUUAUGGUGCAAAUACAGAAUACAAUCUCUUUAUAAUUUGAAUAAUUUUUUUUUAAUUGUACGAAACAACGCCGUUUAAGUCUCACAAAAACGACGUCGUGUUUACUAAUCCAUGUAAGCUCCAAUCCAACAUUCUGACGAUAAAAAAAAUUGCAGAAUGAAAUUGCAAAAAUUUAAAAAAUUAUGAUUUAAUUGAUCACACUUUAAAAGUCACGUUAAAAUUAUAAUUUUAAAAUAAUUUGUAAUUUUAUUUGCUAAAGCAAAUUUAAGUAUAUUAAAAGAAAACCUGAUGAUACAUUAUAUUCUAUAUCUUCUAAAACAUUAAUACUACAAUUUUUACUUUACUCAAUUAUUUAUUCUCUUCAAAUAAAUAUGCCUUGUCUUCCAAGACAAAGGAUUUCUCAGGGCCAAAUGCCAAUAUAAUUAUCUCUACUUAAUUAUACUUCGUCUUGUGGUUUUAUCACAUAAAUGCGCAGCUUUAUUCAAUUGGUAACUAUCACAAAAUUUGGGUAGAAAUGAGUGUAUUGUAUAAUUAAAUUGCAGAUGCAAUCAUAUCCUAAUCCGAAUCUACAUUUGGACUCAAAUUAUACAAAUGAAAUUAUUCUGAAUAUCAGUACAAUUUGAUUAUACGGUAUAUCCGAUCGUAUCCAAUACCACUUCCAAGUAUAUUGGUAGUUUACUUUAUGGGUUAUAAAUCAUCAUAAACAGUUUGAUAAACCAAUAAUUUGGAGUAUUAAGACAAUUUAUAACAAGUAUAAACAAAUAGUAAUCAUCUCGAGUGAGGAUAUAAUUUUAUGGUGUUUUUAUAAUCAAAUUCAAACUAUACUUUCCUCUUUUUCUUAUUUUUGCAAAUCUAUUUGGUUUCAGACGAAGUUUUAAACAACUGGUAUCGCAAAAGAAAUAUUAUGAACGACUUUUUAGAGAAGAUAUUGUUUAGACAAAUAAUUUGUUGGGCCAAGCAAAAUGAUAUAUGUUGGGCUGGAGAUUCCAAGAGUAAAUAAAAUAAAAAUCUGCCGAGUAAAAGGGAAAUAAAAAGAAAUAAAUAAAAAAAAGGCGAAAAAGGAUUGGGCACCUCGCACCUGGAUCCAAACGCGGCCAUUAUUAUAAUCACAAAAUAUUUACACGUAUAUAUAAUGUAUAUAUAUAUGAAAUCAUUAUGAAAUAGCGUAGGUGAAAGGAAGUAGCUGUGAGAGAGAGAGCCCGAAGAUUAGAAGAAGAAAAAGUAAAAUAGGAAAAUAUUUGUGAAUCCUCAAAUUUGCAGCACCCGUUGUAAUCGCUAGCUUUACAAUUUUUAUUUUUAUUUUCAUUUUAUCUUCUUUCUCUACCCGUUAGAAAAAUCUGAUUUUUUCUUGCUAAUAAUUAGAAGAAAUCUGUAAUAUUCUUGAUUUUGUCCAUGGAGUUUCCGAUGGGGAAAUGUGUAUGUAUAUUCAUGUGUAUAUUGGCGGCAUCAGCUACGUCGUUUCGAUUGGUGUCUUCAUCAUCGACUUGUAAACGUGAUUCCAUGGAAUUUCUUCACGAUCUGAAUUCUCAGUGCCCCCUAUCGAUCCAUUGCUCUUCAUCCCCAAUUCAGGUAAUUUAUCAUUUUUUUAUCCUAAAAAUUUCAGUCCUUUUUUUUUGUAUUAUUGCUACAUAUGUGCGUCUAGGGUUUCAAGGGUGUUGCCUUAGAAUAUUAAUGUCUUGAUUAUUCGAUUUUUGUAUGCGGUAUGUCGGUUUUCUUAUCUCAUUACACGCCACUUUUUGUCUCGGUGUGUGUUUUUCUUUAUUGUUAUUGUGAGCUAAUGUGUCAGCUUGUUACAUGAGCUGCAUGUUUUGGCACAAAAAGAGUAAACUUAUGUGGGAUAGAGUUAUAAACGUUGUACUCUCAUUACACUUAUUGGUAUGAAACAUUCUUUUAUUUUUGGUUUUGUAGAAAGCCUGUAUCUUGAUUCUUGACUUGUUAUAGUAAAAUGAGUAAAUUUCAGCAUUAGUUAUCUUGGGAGAUUCUAUAUGAGUGCUGUUUUAAAACUCCAUUUUCUUGAAAUUAGGGCUACCUCUAGCAUUUCCUCUCAGAAACCUAUGUUACUUCCUGUCCUGUUUUGGUUGAUUGGUUGCACAUUAGCAUACCAUUUACUUCUUUCUUGCUGUUUAUGUUGUUAACCGGCUAUCCUUCUAGCAUAAUGAUAUAACAUUACUCAUCAAUGAUAUAUAAUAACCAAGGAAGGUCUUUUUCUAUAAAAAGCUAAUGUCUUUGGUAUCCAGCUAAAACUAGGUGAGCAGCGUUGGUACACCGAAAUGUCGAUUGCAGACACACUUCAAUUAACCCUAUCUGUGGUGUGAUAGUGUUCAUUUAUAAUGAUGUUCGUACUUAUGUGAGAUUAAUAUGCAUGUUUGAUGCAGCUUUCUGUUUAUAUCUCUUGAUUCCAAUUUAAGUUGAACUGUCUUUAUCUUUCUCCCAUGCUGUAUUUUUAGAGGUUAACCCUUUAUUGGUUUAUUCUUUAAUCAUGUAUUGAUACAUUAAUAUGUAAUUGAAGGUGAAUGAAGAAUCCCUUGAAAAUGCAAUGAGCUCCAUUCGAGACAAUGAAUAUACUGCUGUUCUUUUCUAUGCUUCUUGGUGUCCUUUCUCAAGCAUCUUUCAGUCAAGGUUUUCUACUCUCAGUUCCAUGUAUCCACNUCCAUGUUACGACGUCGUUUUCUAUAAAAUUGUUGAAUAUUGGAUAUUAUGGUGCAAAUACAAGAUACAAUCUCUUUAUAAUUUGAAUAAUUUUUUUAAAAAAAAUUGUACGAAAAAACGCCGUUUAAGUUUCACAAAAACGACGUCGUGUUUACUAAUCCACGUAAGCUCCAAUCCAACAUUCUGGCAAUAAAAAAAAUUGCAAAAUACAAUUGCAAAAAUUUAAAAAAUAAUGAUUUAAUUGAUCACACUUUAAAAGUCACGUUAAAAUUAUAAUUUUAAAAUAAUUCGUAAUUUUAUUUGCUAUAGCAAAUUUAACUAUAUUAAAAGAAAACCUGAUGAAAAUUUUUUUUGCUCCUGCCGCUAGGGUUUCGCUAGGGUUCUCCGAGGGCAGAGAGUAUUGUCGUCCGUCUUUUGACGUGUGUUUUUCCUCUUCUGGGAGGAUUGAUCGUUUGUUCUUGCUGUGUUUUGCGCCUCUUCGAUGGAUCCCGAUGAGAUCCAAAAGUUAGUGAACCAACUUAGACUCACGGAGGAGGCGGAGGCGACUACGGUCUCUUUCUCGCCAGAACUGACGGAAACCCUAAAUACCACAAUCAAGUAUCGGCUGGUGGGGAAAGUCUUCGCUGGGAGACAAAUUAAUAGGGAAUUACUUCUUCAACAUUUACCCAACAUUCUCCUCUCAAAACACCGCAUUGAUGUGGAGAUUGUGGGCCCCAACGUCUUUGUUAUUAAUUUCCAUUCAUUAGAUGACAAAAGACGAGCGCUGUAUGGAGGCCCUUGGCACUUCUUCCAAGAUCUAUUACUGUUUUCUGAAAUUGAGGGCUUCCAAAACCCUUUGGAAACAAAGUUCGAGAUGUUUUCGGGAUGGGUUCAGUGCCACAACUUACCGGUGGCAUGCAUGCACCCAGAUGCGAUCCGGAAGAUCGGAGAGGGAAUCGGCCGCGUAGAAGAGGUGGAUCUGAACGCGGGACUAUGUCUGGGGCGUUUCGCAAGGGUUAGGGUUUCAUGGCCCCUUGACAGACCCUUACAAAGAUGUGUUCGUAUUGCUCCUAAUGAUACCCAACAGGGAGCCCUCAUUCUGCUCCUUUACGAAAAAUUACCCAAUUUUUGUUUCAACUGUGGGCGCAUUGGUCACUUAUAUCGCUUCUGUGAGGAGCCAAAGUGUCAGGACGGAAAGUUUAAGUAUGGUACUUGGCUCUUGGCUCCAAAAGCUAGUGAAGGAAGACGUGGAAAUAAUUCUGGAGAACGUAGAAACUAUCAAGGUAAUACAAGCACUGAAACUAGGUCUAAUGCAGACACUCACUCAUCAAGUGAAGAGGCGAAAAGGAAUAAGGGGACUGUUCUGCUGGGUCCUGACCCAGGGAAGGAUAAGGUGGUGGAUAUUGGGGAGGUGGAUGCGAGGCUGGAUAGGGCUUUGGUUGUUAAGGGUGGUGGAGGGACGUCCAGUGGGGAGGUAGAGAGGUCUGAGAGGGAGGAGGAGAGGGAGAGUGAGGCAUCUAUGAACCUGGAUGAGCCUGAGGUUACGACGGGGGUCGACAGUCCGUACGUAGGAGGACCUGUGGAGAGGGAGAUUGAAGGGGGGAGAGAAAAUAAGAUUGGAGAGGGUGGGCCUGAAGGUGGGACUCGAAAGGUGUCUUCGUGGAAACGAAGGGCAAGAACUGCCAGGAUGAGGGACACUGGUAGAGAGGGUAGAGGGGGGAGAGGAGGUAGAGGGUGGUCUGGAGGAAAGGUAGCGGGCGGCUCCCGACGAAGUGAGAUAGUGGGAGAGAAAGGAAAUGGUUCGGGUGGACAGGAGUUGGGGGCAGAGAAGGAGUUGAGAAGCGGGUCGAAAAAAUGUUUGGGGAGUUACGGGCUUGAGGUGGACUCGGAAACUCCCCCAUGCAAGAUUCCACGUCACAACACUCAAAACACAUUGGCAACAACGGCGGUGGCUGCGGAGCAGCACCGCCGAGCCCAAUGAAUUGCAUUGUUUGGAAUGCGCGGGGUCUGGGUUCGCCCCGAGCAUUCCAUAAUCUACGGCAGUUGGUAACUGGUGCGAAACCCACUCUUUUAUUUAUUUCGGAAACUAAAAUGAAGACUCGUUUUUGUGAAAGGUGGAGGUACUUGCUUGGUUUCGAUGGCCACUUCAUUGUGGACGCGGUGGGAAAAAGUGGAGGUCUUAUGUUGUUUUGGAGUGCUCCUCUGGAGGUGAAAGUGAAAAACUACUCCGUUGGACACAUUGAUUGUUGGAUUGCUGUGAAUGGUAAUAGGUGGCGGUUUACAGGCUUUUAUGGACAUCCUGAUUCUACCAAACGUUUCCAGUCUUGGGAGCUUCUCAAGAGGUUGGGGGAGAAUUCUAGAGACUAUCCGUGGUUGGUGGGAGGUGAUUUUAAUGAGAUCUUAAGUCAGAAAGAGAAGAGAGGUGGCAAGCGAAAGGCUUGGAAUCAAUUGGCAGGGUUUCGAAAAGAAAACCUGAUGAUACAUUAUAUUCUAUAUCUUCUAAAACAUUAAUACUACAAUUUUUACUUUACUCAAUUAUUUAUUCUCUUCAAAUAAAUAUGCCUUGUCUUCCAAGACAAAGGAUUUCUCAGGGCCAAAUGCCAAUAUAAUUAUCUUUACUUAAUUAUACUUCGUCUCGUGGUUUUAUCACAUAAAUGCGCAGCUUUAUUCAAUUGGUAACUGUCACAAAAUUUGGGUAGAAAUGAGUGUAUUGUAUAAUUAAAUUGCAUGUGCAAUUAUAUCCUAAUCCGAAUUUAUAUUUGGACUCAAAUUAUAUAAAUGAAACUAUUCUGAAUAUUAGUACAAUUUAAUUAUACAGUAUAUCCGAUCGUAUCCAAGACCACUUACAAGUAUAUUGGUAGUUUACUUUAUGGGUUAUAAAUCAUCAUAAACAGUUUGAUAAACCAAUAAUUUGGAGUAUUAAUUAAGACAAUUUAUAACAAGUAUAAACAAAUACUAGUAAUCAUCUCGAGUGAGGAUAUAAUUUUAUGGUGUUUUUAUAAUCAAAUUCAAACUAUACUUUCCUCUUUUUCUUAUUUUUGCAAAUCUAUUUGGUUUCAGACGAAGUUUUAAACAACUGAUAUCGCAAAAGAAAUACUAUUAUGAACGACUUUUUAGAGAAGAUAUUGUUUAGACAAAUAAUUUGUUGGGCCAAGCAAAAUGAUAUAUGUUGGGCUGGAGAUUCCAAGAGUAAAUAAUACUUAAAAAUCUGCCGAGUAAAAGGGAAAUAAAAAGAAAUAAAUAAAUAAAAGGCGAAAAAGGAUUGGGCACCUCGCACCUGGAUCCAAACGCGGCCAUUAUUAUAAUCACAAAAUAUUUACACGUAUAUAUAAUGUAUAUAUAUAUGAAAUCAUUAUGAAAUAGCGUAGGUGAAAGGAAGUAGCUGUGAGAGAGAGAGAGAGCCCGAAGAUUAGAAGAAGAAAAAGUAAAAUAGGAAAAUAUUUGUGAAUCCUCAAAUUUGCAGCACCCGUUGUAAUCGCUAGCUUUACAAUUUUUAUUUUUAUUUUCAUUUUAUCUUCUUUCUCUACCCGUUAGAAAAAUCUGAUUUUUUCUUGCUAAUAAUUAGAAGAAAUCUGUAAUAUUCUUGAUUUUGUCCAUGGAGUUUCCGAUGGGGAAAUGUGUAUGUAUAUUCAUGUGUAUAUUGGCGGCAUCAGCUACGUCGUUUCGAUUGGUGUCUUCAUCAUCGACUUGUAAACGUGAUUCCAUGGAAUUUCUUCACGAUCUGAAUUCUCAGUGCCCCCUAUCGAUCCAUUGCUCUUCAUCCCCAAUUCAGGUAAUUUAUCAUUUUUUUAUCCUAAAAAUUUCAGCCUUUUUUUUUUGUUAUUAUUGCACAUAUGUGCGUCUAGGGUUUCAAGGGUGUUGCUUUAGAAAUAUUAAUGUCUUGAUUAUUCGAUUUUGUAUGCGGUAUGUCGGUUUUCUUAUCUCAUUACACGCCACUUUUUGUCUCGGUGUGUGUUUUUCUUUAUUGUUAUUGUGAGCUAAUGUGUCAGCUUGUUACAUGAGCUGCAUGUUUUGGCACAAAAAGAGUAAACUUAUGUGGGAUAGAGUUAUAAACGUUGACUCUCAUUACACUUAUUGGUAUGAACAUUCUUUUAUUUUUUGGUUUUGUAGAAAGCCUGUAUCUUUAUUCUGGACUUGUUAUAGUAAAAUGAGUAAAUUUCAGCAUUAGUUAGCUUGGGAGAUUCUAUAUGAGUGCUGUUUUAAAACUCCAUUUUCUUGAAAUUAGGGCUACCUCUAGCAUUUCCUCUCAGAAACCUAUGUUACUUCCUGUCCUGUUUUGGUUGAUUGGUUGCACAUUAGCAUACCAUUUACUUCUUUCUUGCUGUUUAUGUUGUUAACCGGCUAUCCUUCUAGCAUAAUGAUAUAACAUUACUCAUCAAUGAUAUAUAAUAACCAAGGAAGGUCUUUUUCUAUAAAAAGCUAAUGUCUUUGGUAUCCAGCUAAAACUAGGUGAGCAGCGUUGGUACACCGAAAUGUCGAUUGCAGACACACUUCAAUUAACCCUAUCUGUGGUGUGAUAGUGUUCAUUUAUAAUGAUGUUCGUACUUAUGUGAGAUUAAUAUGCAUGUUUGAUGCAGCUUUCUGUUUAUAUCUCUUGAUUCCAAUUUAAGUUGAACUGUCUUUAUCUUUCUCCCAUGCUGAUUUUUAGAGGUAACCCUUUAUGGUUUAUCUUUAAUCAUGUAUUGAUACAUUAAUAUGUAAUUGAAGGUGAAUGAAGAAUCCCUUGAAAAUGCAAUGAGCUCCAUUCGAGACAAUGAAUAUACUGCUGUUCUUUUCUAUGCUUCUUGGUGUCCUUUCUCAAGCAUCUUUCAGUCAAGGUUUUCUACUCUCAGUUCCAUGUAUCCACAGAUCAAACAUAUAAUGGUCGACCAAACCUCUGUCUUGCCGAGGUAAGUGUUUUAGUUUGUAUUCUCUUCCUAUAUUGUCACCUCUUCCAAGUUUAGAAGUGCUGAUUCGUUUCAAACAUGGGUGAACCUAGAUUGUGUAGUCUCCUAUAAACCAUAGAAAUGAGCAUUUCCACUCAUCCAUCACACCUGCUUACCACAAAUGUAUUAGACAUCUCUGUGCAGCGGUCUGUUGUUGGCACUGCACAAAGGCUUGUAAACCUAUGGAAUUCUAUUUACCAAAUUUUUAUCACUACCUUUAGGUUGAGGUUAUUGCUGCAUCUGCUCUAACACUAGUUUGACAAAUGACCCUACUACUUGAAGAUGCUACUUGGUCGAAUAUUAAGUAUGGAUAGUUCUCUCAGCUAUUCAGAACAAGCUUGUAGUACUUUCGUAGGGUCCUUGUAGAUCAUUUAGUUAUGACUUCUCCUCUUUGGUAGCUGCUUCUAUGUACUAGCUGACCUUGCAAAGCUUAUAGAGUCCAUAUUCAAUUAGGGAAGUUUAAAAUCUAUUUGUAUGUGUGUGUGUGUGUGUGUGUUCAAGCCUUUCGCCUGAGUUUAACUUGUCUGAUGUGUGCAGCGUCUUCUCAAGAAAUGGGAUUCACAGCGUGCCAUCGCUUCUGAUUGUGAAUCAGACUACUAGAGCGAGAUAUUAUGGUCGUAAAGAUCUCCCUUCUAUUGUGAACUUCUACAAAAAAUCUACAGGUAGCACCAAUGGUCGAAAGUUGAUUUCCUAAGAUUGUGUCUGAUUGAGCUCAUGACAUAUCUAUGUUUGUGGCUUGAUGAGUGCUUACAUGAUCUAUGUAGUUUUACUUCAGUUCCUUGAGAUAUUCAUCUUUACUUUUGUCAGCAUUUAUACAACUGAUAGAUUAAAUUGAUCUUACAUAAAGUGUUUAGUGAAUAGUGGCCCUGAGAAUGUUUGAGUGGGAAUGCAAGAUGCAAAAAGAGUGCGUUUUUCUUCAUAAAUAACCUUAUCCCUAUGUGUAUGCUCCUAUUCAGAAGGUAGCCAAAAAUUUAUGUUGAAUUGCAUCUUUCCUUGUAUUAUAUGGCUUUCCAAUAUUUAUUUCUCCUUAAUGUCAUGACAUCAUCUGUAUAUUUACGUGUUCAUGGAUGAUGAAAUUCUUUUAUUUGCUUAGGACUGGAUCCUGUAGUGGAUAUAGUAGAAGACACGGAAUGCAAUCUGGAGAGUGACGAGCAAGUAUUUGGGGUUUGGAAAGGAGCAUCAUUGAAAGAGAUUUUCUCGAGGGAACCUUAUCUACUAGUCUCUAUAAUAUUUGUUUUGUCAAGGGCUUUUCUAUAUGUCUUCCCGGAGAUUGCAUAUCAUAUAAUGGCGAUUUGGUUGGCAUAUAUUCCUCAUCUGAAUAUGGGGAUCUUUGGAGAAUCACGACAGCUUAUAGGCCGGGCGCUGCAUCUGAUUGAUGUGAAGAGAAUUUGGAGCAAGUUAAAGGUGUGUAAGACUAGGAACUUCCACAAGGGAGCGAGGAAUGCCCGGGUUUGGGCUUCAUCCCUGGCGUCUGUCUCGUUGGGUGAGACGUCGUCAUCUAGAGCAUUAUCUUCCAAGGACUUGUAAACCAUUUUUGUACCAUUUGUUGAUGGGGUUUGCCCUUUUACUUAUUGAUGAUGUAAUCGUUAGUCUUUGCAGUCACUGCCUUGAGAAUAUCUUGUGUAAAGACUUGAGAUUUCACUUGAAAUUUCGACUCUAGUGAGAGAAAAACAAAACCAUGUAAAUUUCUUAACACAAUCCUCCUUUGGUUGUAAAAUAUACAAGUUGGUUGAGAACAAGUUCCACACCUCCAAUGUGUCUCCAAUUAAUUUAAAAUGUCAAUUGCUUUUGCUCCCCUAUAUAUGUAAAAGCAAUGGUACAUUCAUAAGGUGGUCUCAUUUUGGUUUUUCAAUGUUUUUUUGGAAGGUUUCUCAAUACUUUGGCAAAAAAAGAGCAUAAUUUUUUUGUGCUUUUUACUCACAAUUAUUUAAGUAUUAAAAACUUUAUGGUACAUUCAUAUUCAUAUACUAGUAUAAGGCAAUUUCAGAUAUCUCCCAAUUCUUUCCUAUUUUAAUUUGAAAUAGUAAUCGAUAAGUAUCAAAGAAAUAGUGGUGGGGCAGAUUGGGUAAUUGGUUUGAGCUGUCUUGUCCAAUCCAAAACCCUAAAUUCAAAAUCUUCCAGAACUUUGCACUUCUCUUUGGCUUCUAGUUGUGUACAAUUCUCAAAACCCCCAGAGUUUUGCUACAGAAUUCGGCGCUCUUACUCUCCCACGUCAUGGUAUCAGUUCCACUAUUUUUGAUUGUUGUAGUAUAUAAUGUUUCCAUGUUUUGUCUGUAAUUCUCAACUAUUCGAGCACAUGUAACAUGAAUUCUGUGUGUAUGUAUUGCAGACUGCAGAAGCCGUGAACCCGAAAGCAUAUCCGUUGGCAGAUGCCCAGCUGAUCACUACUAUACUUGAUUUGGUUCAACAAGCCGCCAACUACAAACAACUCAAAAAGGGCGCUAAUGAAGGUUGGAUACUUUUUUUUCCCGAAGUGUGUGAGUUCCUCUGUGCUAAUUGAUAAGUGAUUGAGGAAUUUUAUGGUUUUGUCAACUUAAUGCAGCUACUAAGACGUUGAACCGUGGGAUUUCUGAAUUUGUUGUGAUGGCGGCUGAUACAGAGCCUCUUGAAAUCCUCCUUCACCUUCCGCUUCUUGCUGAAGAUAAGGUAGUUAUCACUUAUUUGCUUUCACAGAUGUGAUUUCUGCGUUAAAUUUGUUCAUAUAAUUGAGCACCCAACUUGUGAUUUUGCGUGAUGGGACAACUGCUGAGUUCAUGCUGUGUGUGUGUGUUUCAAAUACACAUUUAGUCUCGCGUGACGAAUAUCAUCCAUUAUCUUUUGUUUGUAAUAUAACGUAGUAUCAAGCUAUUGGCUUUAUGUUGUUAGUCCUCGAAACUAACAGAAGAUUAUUGCAUGAGAAGGCUACUGUGUUCUUGAGAAUUUAUCAGAAUUACUUCUGCGGGUGUGCCCAUCUAGUCAAGGACAACAUUCCACUCCACUAACUUGGAUUUUUUUUCUUCUUCGUAUUUUGCCCUUGUUAUCGCUCUGUCCAGCUAUCAUCAUUUCGUUUUCUAGAUCAUUAUAGUUCUUGUUAUGAUGAGAAAUAUAUUCUUAGUAGAAUUUAUUAUAUCGGUAUUGAUAGUUCUCAGUAUUUUCUCUGUUGUGCCCAUUUUCCAUGGGGAAAGAAAACUGUUACAUGGGCCAAGUAGAGCAUUUUAUCACUUGUCUUCCAUGACCGCUAUGCUGAACUUUGAUUGUGGCUGCAGAAUGUGCCCUAUGUUUUUGUUCCAUCCAAGCAAGCUCUUGGCCGAGCAUGUGGAGUGACCAGACCAGUCAUUGCUUGUUCUGUUACCAGCAACGAGGGAAGCCAAUUGAAAUCUCAAAUACAGCAGUUGAAGGUAUCUUGCUAGAGGCUCAAUUUUUGUUGUGAUAAGACCUUCAAGUUUGUAUUGAUAAUAAUUGUAUUCAUUUCGCCUAUUCCUUUUCCUUGUUUAAUGUAGGAUGCUAUCGAGAAGCUUCUGAUCUGAUUAUGCUAAAUAGCCUCUUCCAGCAUGAUGGGCCUUCAGAUCAUCCCUGAGGCUUUGACUGAACUAGUUUCCUCAUACAAUGAUCGGCUCACUCUCCGUACUUUUCUUUCUUUCCUUUUAUUGUUCUUCAUAGAGAUUGUGAUUUUGACACUCAAUAGACACCAAGACUUGGAAGUAUAUUACCUGUUUCAAGACUGUAAGACUUGGAGCUCCCUUGUUCUGGGGGGCUCUUUAUUCAUAUGAGAUGCCUUUUGUAGAAACGUAAUCUAUUGCUUCAAUUUUCUUGCUUACAUCAACAUAGAUGAGAAUAUCUAGUUAGUUGAUAGCAAUUUUCAUUCAGUAUGUGGUUAAGUCAGUUGUGUCUUUACGUUAGUCUCACCCCCUUUUCAAUUUUAUGGACCACUAGGGUGAGAGCUGCACAUGAAAAUUGGCCAAUCAGAUGCUUUCGUUAGGUACCUUGGACCCGUCACAAGUUUGAUAGUUUCUUAGCUUCGUGGCAAAGCUGUUUCUUACCGGCUUCUUAGAUGUUGGCAUGUAAGUUUCACCCAUCUGUCCUGUUUAAGGUUUUGGAUCAUUGGAAAAGUAUGGAUGAUUUAAAUUAACUUUUUAGAAAGCUACACUUCCACCUCCCCUUGUUCCAAACUUUAGGUAUAGUUGCUUUAACACGUUAGAUCUCCAACAUAAGACAGCUAAAGAGCCACUUAAUUUUACUUCUACUCUGCGAUUAACACGCUAUAUCUCCAACAUAAGACAGCUAAAAGGGUAAACUUCAUUAUUUUGUAGCCGAAUUUCAGAUAAUGGUUCGAAGAAUAAAGUAAGAAAAAACAAAUAGUGAGGUGGGUGCAGUGAUUGAAGGGCCUUCUACACAUGUUGAAUUGAUAGCUUAAGGACAAAGCAAGUUUUGUUGCCUUUGAAUACACAUACACAUACACAUACAUAUACAUAAUAUAAUAUGAAUGAUGGAUGCAUACACUCUGUCUCAACCUUAUACGGCAUGCAUGUGCUAAUCUAUAUGAUUUGAUGAAAUCUUUUUGUUUUAUCUCUCUAAAACUCUCGUGGCAAUGAAUGUUACCGUGUUUUGUGUUUGGUGGUUAGAAAUGUGGUGAUACGUGUGCCCCGUUAAACCUUUCAAGUCGUGUCUAUCGGGCUCACUUUAUGCGAUUUGGCUCUUCUACGUGAUUUUUUGAAAGCGAGGCACAUGGAGUAUUGGAGUGGUUGAUAAUAAGUGCUAAGCUUUGAGAAAUUAAGGAAAUGUGUUGAAUUAUUAUCAGUUAGAAGUUAGAACCAUAUGAGCUAAGUGCUAAGCUUUGAGAAACUAAGGAAAUGUGUUGAAUUAUUAUCAGUUAGAACCAUAUGAGCUGUUUUAUGCGAGUUAAAGCUAACUUUGUUGUUAUCUAAAUUUGUCGAAGCUGCAUGUGGUGACGGCGUUAUUAAUACUGUCUUAAUUAUUGUUGUUACGAAGAUUCUUGUAGCAAGAAAAUUAGGUGAAGAUUGAUUGGAAGAUGGAAUCAGAAUAAUACAUUUUUGCAAUCGUACAAUAUCUUGAUUCUCUUCUUUUUUUGUCUGUGUUUUCCAUUCAUCUCUUGAUGAUGGUGAUAAAGGAUAUAUUAGGUAAUUUAGGUUAAAACACAAUUUAACUUUAUUAUGUGGGGGCCGAGACCCCCUUUAUUCGUUGAUCUUCAUAAGUGUGAGGUAAAGGGUCAUUUUUCGUAAGUUAGGUGAAGUAAAAUUUGCUAAGGCAGUCGACUUCAAUUUUUCUAGUAUGCAUCCUAAAAAAGAGAUGUAUUUAUUGCAGCGUGCAUCACCUAUAAAUACGUAAUGAAAACACUCACGCUUAAAUAAAUAUUUUCUGUGCCCAAAUAAUUGUUCCUACCUGCCCUAAACUCAUUGUACUCAUAAAGUCAUAAUACUAAGAAAGUGAAUAACUUUACUCUCAAUUGUUGCGUGAAAAAAUCGAAAGAGUGCAAUAUUUGCAUUGAGGAUGAGUAAGAUUGUAAGUUGGCAACAUUUUAUCAUAGAAUUCUAAAACGAAACAUUUAUUUGGGGAGGAAAUUCAUUUCUCUGUUAUAAUUUGCUUUUAGUAUUUUAUUCUCAUAGUAAUAUUUACUUAUAUCGCUUUUAUUUUGUGACAAUAUAAAUAUGCAUUUAGCACAUAAUAAUAUUGGAGAUUGUUCGAAUAAAGGAUGGAAUUCAAGACCCAUUCUUUCUCUAGCAUUAUUAUUCCUACAAAUCCCAUUUUUUUACAGAUGCCCCACCGCUUUGGUUAGAAAUACUUCUAGCAUGAAGCCUCUCUCUCUCUCUCUCGUGUAUCGAAGAGGCCACGUUUUGGUAGAAUUUUCGAACACAAAAUGCUGUUGUCAUUAAUCAUGUUUCAUAAAGCAAUCUUCUUUUUCUUCUGCCUAAAAAAAUGAUUCUUUAGACUUUCACAUUUAAUAAUUUAUCAACCCAAGUAAGACUCAAGAGACGUAAUUUAUUUCAUGAGAUGCAAUAAAGAAUGAGAAUCAGGUAGAACACAAUAAUUCUUAUUAAUAAUAACAAGAUGAUGCUACAUAAAAAUGAAAACAAGAAAAAGGAAAACAAAAAAUCACCAUCAAAUCAAUACUCGAGCUAAAUCCGUCGUGAAGAAUACUGCAACAAUAAUAAGUUAACAAGGAACAAAAAUUUGUACUGGUAAAAUUAAAGGUAAAAGAAAAUAGAAAGGUUAUUAGGUAAAGAUGAUAAAUCAGAAGACAAAUGCAAAAGCCAUGGCCACAAAGGAGGCGAGGAAAGUGGGAACAAAGGCGGUUGCGUCGGAAGUGGGGGACGGCGCCGGAGCGUCAGCGGCUUCGACGGCGGAGAGCGCCAUGAUCAUGAAUGCAACGGCGACCGUCUUCAUGCUCUUGGCCUCCAUCUCAACAAGUUUAUCGAAGCUGAAUAGUUACACACACAAGAGAGAAGAGAAGAGAAGAGAGAGUGGUGUAUGCAGCUAAUAAGAGAAUAUGAAUGUAUAUAGAGAGUUUAGGGGUUUAUAUAAUACAUACAAUACAAAGAUGACUUAUUAGCUUUGUGUGAGAGAGAGAGAGAGAGUAGGGGCAGUUGCCCGGGAUGAAAUGUAGAAAAAUUCCUAACGGUUAACACAAAUGAAUUAAGAUAGGAGACCGCCCACUCUUUUUU